CGCACCUUGCGCUCCUUGGUAUUCCGAGGAGCAUGCCUGUUUGAGUGUCAUGUUAUUCUCAAUCCCUCUGGUUUUUGUUAACUGGAUGGGCUUGGAUUUGGAGGUCUUCUGCUGGCCCUUGCGGUCGGCUCCUCUUGAAUACAUUAGCUGGGCUUACGCUCGAUGCAAUGGUGUAAUAAUUAUCUUCACCAGUGUAACUUGCGAAAGAAGUCUGCUUCUAAUCGUCCUUCCCUCUGGGGGACACUAUAGAGAGCAAUCUCUUGACACCUUUGACCUCAAAUCAGGUAGGACUACCCGCUGAACUUAA
RNAcentral lists this unclassified non-coding RNA (307 nucleotides) under Fuscoporia cinchonensis. Its description in RNAcentral is "partial contains 5.8S ribosomal RNA, internal transcribed spacer 2, and large subunit ribosomal RNA". Lineage: Eukaryota; Fungi; Basidiomycota; Agaricomycetes; Hymenochaetales; Hymenochaetaceae. The record is from RNAcentral.